GUGAUAUGGAUGGAACCAGAAACCCUCAUGAGGGGGCAGCAACCUGCUGUGGGCCCUGCUUCGGGCCAGCCCAAGUCUGCACUCAGAGGGCCAUAUUCCUAAAGUGGAUUGUUCUUAUACAGACGGUGCCAACAUGCCACAGCAGAAUACACAGAAGAGUCUGUGUGACUGAUGUGGAUGGUACAUCGAUCUAUGUGUCUCCAUGUGACUUGAAAACAAUGGUCCUGGGACCAUAAUCAUGCUAUGCUGGCUUUUGUGUGUAACAGUGUGUCUUGAUAGUGUUCCAGCACUAGGAGAACACAUCUGUCACAUCUCUUCUGUCCUCUGAGCACCACUAAGCUUCCAGGACAGACAUUUUAAUGUGCUCAAUCUGAAAAGCAAAGAGAACAUUAUUCGACUCUGGGGUGAGAAGAGUACCCCAGAACCCCAUGCUUCCCAACCUACCGAAAAAAAACUCUGGGAAAGUACAUUUUUCCGGAUCCAGCUGGCCUCAGCCAAUGGAUCUCCUCACAAUAAACUGAGGAGGACCUCUCAGGUGACUAUGGACAGUCUGGGGGGAAGAUCUGGCCUCUCACAUUGUGAUAUCCCUAAGACAACUGUAUUGUUCACCUGGCCCCAUCCCCAGGAAUAUAAAGCCACUGUCCUGAAGACGUUAAGCCCCAGCUCCAUGGCUUCUGAGCCACGGGUUGGGGACCGGUCUGGCUGAGAAUCGGACAGCCUCACGGAGAGCAGGCCAGAUGUCCAGGAGGCAGUGUGGACACAGGACCCUCCUGCAGAGGAAGACCUGUCCACCCCAGCGCUGAUCUCUCCUGGUAAAAUCCCACACAGGAAGGACAGGCUUUUCACAGGGUCUUGCUCAGAGGGGAGGGCUGAGGUGCAAAGGGGCCCUAAGCUGUCUCAUGGAACAAUAGCCCCUUGCCCUCUUCCCCUGCCUGGAUAAACAUCAGAGAUUGCCCUCUGGGUAUUCAAUCACCUUUGCUCCCUGUUUCUGGGCAGAGAACAUGGUCUUCUCCAUGAGGUGAGACUUCUCUCCUCAGAGAGAGUAUUUCUAGUCAGCCUGUCCUACCUGCCCCAAGAGGGGUUCCCAGGUUCAGAAUGUGGCCAGCAAGCAGCCCUGUCGAGCUCCAAUAGAGUUUAGCUGUGGUGACUGUGUUCCCCAAAAUAUUGUACAUCCUAAUAAAUUUAUCUGAGUCAGAGGACAGAACAGCCACUAGA
This is a non-coding RNA of Peromyscus maniculatus bairdii (prairie deer mouse), 1215 nucleotides long. NCBI's taxonomy places the organism in Eukaryota, Metazoa, Chordata, Mammalia, Rodentia, Cricetidae. The record is from RefSeq and is a predicted model, not a curated record.